CGAGUGAGAGAAGCGAUCAGAGGUGAAGAAGCCGCUGGAAGAGAGCUGAGCGCCCCUUGGCUGCCUCCUGAGCCCACCUGUUGUACCGCCCUCGCCGCUCUGGGCAAGGCGCCCCUGGGCGCGCACAGCCAGCCUGCAACCGAGGGGUGAGGGAUGUGGAGGGCAGCAGAGAUCCUUCGGGUUGGGUCCCCUGAACCUGCUGCCCUCACCGUUCAGUCCCCCCACCCUGCCCUCCCUGCUCCUGGACUCUGAAGGGAAAGGUGAAAGGCAGAGAGAGGGAGAGAAAGGCAAAGAAGAAGAGACACCAACGCAACAAUUACCACCUCAACAUGCUUCAGCUUAGACUGUGUCCAGAGACUUCACAUGUGGAAUGACAACCCUUCAGCUUCAUUACUCAGCCACCAGGUUCCAGAUGCCAUCAGGAUGCCGGCCAGGCUUCCCUGGACUGAAGACCCCACCAAUGUGUCCUGGAGCUCUGCUUCCCCAGAGACCCACCCUACUAGGGAAAGAGAGAGGCAGACUGGGAGUAUGGACCAACCAGUCAACACCCAUGUUCAGUGGGGAAGCAAUUACAGAAGCCAGACCUUCUACCUUCUGCAACCCUCAAUGACCCUGGGUCCAUGCUCCCAGAGGGAUAGAGA
Molecule: long non-coding RNA, 641 nt
Organism: Erinaceus europaeus (western European hedgehog)
Lineage: Eukaryota; Metazoa; Chordata; Mammalia; Eulipotyphla; Erinaceidae
Exons: 3
Source: RefSeq, a predicted model, not a curated record